RNAcentral lists this ribosomal RNA (573 nucleotides) under uncultured bacterium. Its description in RNAcentral is "bacterial SSU rRNA". It matches the Rfam family "Bacterial small subunit ribosomal RNA", at positions 388 to 953 of the family's 1533-position model. The record is from RNAcentral.
GGUUCGACGCCGCGUGGGGGAUGAAUGGCUUCGGCCCGUAAACCCCUGUCAUUUGCGAUCAAACCUUACGACCUAACACGUCGUGAGCUGAUAGUAGCGGAAGAGGAAGGGACGGCUAACUCUGUGCCAGCAGCCGCGGUAAUACAGAGGUCCCAAGCGUUGUUCGGAUUCACUGGGCGUAAAGGGUGCGUAGGCGGUCGGGUAAGUCUGACGUGAAAUCUUCAAGCUCAACUUGGAAACUGCGUCGGAUACUAUUCGGCUAGAGGAAUGGAGGGGAGACUGGAAUACUUGGUGUAGCAGUGAAAUGCGUAGAUAUCAAGUGGAACACCAGUGGCGAAGGCGAGUCUCUGGACAUUUCCUGACGCUGAGGCACGAAAGCCAGGGGAGCAAACGGGAUUAGAUACCCCGGUAGUCCUGGCCCUAAACGGUGCGCAUUUGCUGUAAGAGGAAUCGACCCCUUUUGUGGCGAAGCUAACGCGUUAAAUGCGCCGCCUGGGAAGUACGGCCGCCAGGUUAAAACUCACAGAACUUGACGGGGGCCUGCACAAGCGGUGGAGUAUGUGGCUUAAUUCG